RNAcentral lists this ribosomal RNA (257 nucleotides) under uncultured Staphylococcus sp. RNAcentral describes it as "partial 16S ribosomal RNA". It matches the Rfam family "Bacterial small subunit ribosomal RNA", at positions 83 to 334 of the family's 1533-position model. The record is from RNAcentral. Lineage: Bacteria; Bacillati; Bacillota; Bacilli; Caryophanales; Staphylococcaceae.
CCUUUGACGUUAGCGGCGGACGGGUGAGUAACACGUGGGUAACCUACCUAUAAGACUGGGAUAACUUCGGGAAACCGGAGCUAAUACCGGAUAAUAUUUCGAACCGCAUGGUUCGAUAGUGAAAGAUGGUUUUGCUAUCACUUAUAGAUGGACCCGCGCCGUAUUAGCUAGUUGGUAAGGUAACGGCUUACCAAGGCGACGAUACGUAGCCGACCUGAGAGGGUAAUCGGCCACAUUGGGACUGAGACACGGCCCAG